This 1023-nucleotide long non-coding RNA is filed under the name Homo sapiens (human). RNAcentral describes it as "non-protein coding lnc-GNPDA2-3:1". Lineage: Eukaryota; Metazoa; Chordata; Mammalia; Primates; Hominidae. The record is from RNAcentral.
CUUCCACUCUAAUCAGCAUAUCACUGGCAAGGAAGACCAAUAACUAUGCCCAAGGGCACUCUGUCACUGUCAGGGAAAUCAUUAAUUUAGUCUUGGACAGAAUUUACAAAUGGCUGAUGAGUGAAGAGACCUUUAAAAAUUCUUGGUUUUUCAUAACUUUGGAGGGGGAACAUAUUCUGGAUUUAUUUCCUGCUCAUGAAAGUUGCUGUUGAAUAAGGUAACUUGUCCAAGCUUACAUUCUCUAUUUACCUAGACCUCACAGCUGUAACUGAACUACAUGCCCCUAUAACUCCAUCCUCACCCCCUACACUGUCCUGAGACUGUCACUGUGUUUCUAGUAGAAAUUAAGAUAUAUAUUUUUCAGUAUUGAGCGCCCAAACUACACUAAACUUAACAUCUUUAUUAGAUAAAUAGUACUCCAUAACUAUCUCCCUUUGGUUGGAAAAUGCCUUUAAUGUGGAUCUGCCAGAAUUCCAGACCAAUCUUAAAUGUCAUCCUUUUAUAUUAAAGUUCCCUGUAACCAUGUAAACUACAGUCAUCUCUGCCUAGAAAGCUCAUGAUAAACAGCUUUCCAUAGAAGAGACUGUAGAGCUAACCAACCACAUGGUAUAAGGUGGCCCUCAUAAUAAAACAUACAUGGACUAAGAGAUGGACUGUGACUUUUGCCAUGUUAUAUGUAGUGGUGUUGUGGUUCUCAAAAGUGUUUAUUCUGCCUUCCCAUCAUCAAGUGUAGCAUUCAGUUUGCAUAUUGGUACCCUACUGGAUUCCAGGUUAGUAUUAAUAACCAGACUCCUACUGUGAUUGCUGGUGGAGACUUGGCCAAGGUAUAGCCAUUGCUGAAGAUUAGACUCACUUGAUCAUAUGUUUGCCCUAAUCUAUUUCAAUCAUGCCUAGGAAUGUGCAUAAUGGGUUGGACGAGGGAGAGUAUGCUGGACAUUUAAGAACAUUGCCAUCCCAGAAAAGAUAUUGAGGAAUUUCUUUGGUGUGUGUAGGGUCUGUUGAUGGAGACAGGAAGGGGAGGAG